AACCCUGGGGAUGCUUUCCAUGCAGUCGUACGAAAGUGUUAAAACUUUAGUGGCGGACGGGUGAGUAACAGAGAGAAAUUACCUUUAGGAGGGGAAUAACAGUUGGAAACGACUGCUAAUGCCGCAUAUCAUAACUAUGAAAGAAGAAAUUCGCCUAAAGAAAAGCUUGCGUCUGAUUAGCUAGUUGGUAAGGGUAAAGGCCUACCAAGGCGACGAUCAGUAGCUGGUUUGAGAGGACGACCAGUCACACUGGAACUGAGACACGGUCCAGACUCCUACGGGAGGCAGCAGUGGGGAAUUUUCUGCAAUGGGCGAAAGCCUGACAGAGCAAUACCGCGUGAGGGAAGAAAGCCCACAGGGUUGUAAACCUCUUUUGUCAAGGAAGAAGUUCUGACGUUACUUGACGAAUAAGCAUCGGCUAACUCCGUGCCAGCAGCCGCGGUAAGACGGGGGAUGCAAGUGUUAUCCGGAAUCACUGGGCGUAAAGCGUUUGUAGGUGGUUUAGUAAGUCUAUUAUUAAAGCUUGAAGCUUAACUUCAAAAAUGUAAUAGAAACAACUAGACUAGAGGAUAGUAGGGGUAAAGGGAAUUUCCAGUGGAGCGGGUGAAAAUGCGUAGAGAUUGGAAGGACCACCGAUGGCGAAGGCACUUUACUGGGCUAUUUCUGACACUAAGAGACGAAAGCUAGGGUAGCGAAAUGGGAUUAGAAUACCCCCAGUAGUCC
RNAcentral lists this ribosomal RNA (723 nucleotides) under uncultured bacterium. Its description in RNAcentral is "bacterial SSU rRNA". It matches the Rfam family "Bacterial small subunit ribosomal RNA", at positions 32 to 796 of the family's 1533-position model. The record is from RNAcentral.